RNAcentral lists this long non-coding RNA (253 nucleotides) under Callithrix jacchus (white-tufted-ear marmoset). Its description in RNAcentral is "lncRNA (ENSCJAG00000071679.1)". Lineage: Eukaryota; Metazoa; Chordata; Mammalia; Primates; Cebidae. The record is from RNAcentral.
UAAUAGUCCCUCCAGCACAGACAGAAAUGAGAACCCCUAUUACCCUGGCCUGCCCAACAUGGUGAAACCCCAUCUCUACCAAAAAUACAAAAAUUAGCUGGGCGUGGUGGCAGGCACCUAUAAUCCUAGCUACUGGGGAGGCUAAGGCAGGAGAAUCACUUGAACUCAGAGGAGGCAGAGGUUGCACCACUGCACUCCAGCUUGGGGGACAAAGAGAGAGAGACUGUCUCAAAAAAAAAAAAAAAAGUUUCAG